Molecule: long non-coding RNA, 513 nt
Organism: Rana temporaria (common frog)
Lineage: Eukaryota; Metazoa; Chordata; Amphibia; Anura; Ranidae
Exons: 2
Source: RefSeq, a predicted model, not a curated record
UUAUUUUUCUUAUAUCUCAUGGUUCCGUUCAGUUUUGGACUCAUUACCUAUGUUUACCAUUCACUUAUAGAUACCCCGACUAGUUCUAAUUUGCCCAGUGGUGUAUGGUGAAUGUGGGUAUGACCUAUAGUACCAGACUCCACCUUAUAAGGUAAAUGGUCUGAUUACAAUUUGCAUCUUGGACGCUGUUGAGCAUUCUUCAAAUCUACUAAGCACCGUUUAUCGAAGCUCCCGAAGAAGCGACGACGUCGCGAAACAUGUCGAGCUGAACCCCAUUUUAAUCAGAACUCAUCCUGUACCAUCUUUCGAAGUUACAACGCCACCCAGCGCCUAUAGUGUAUUCUAUACAUCCAGCCCUGUGGCUAAUAGCGGUGUCUUUAGAAAGUGAUAGGAUUUGAGCUCUUCUGUGUAUUCUAUUGUUCACUUUUUUUUUCUCUUUUCUUAUUAUUUCGAGCAAUUGUCCUGUAUAUCUAUGUUUUGUAUUGUCUAAAUUAAAAUAUUUAUAUUCUUAAA